Molecule: non-coding RNA, 26 nt
Filed under: Mus musculus (house mouse)
Lineage: Eukaryota; Metazoa; Chordata; Mammalia; Rodentia; Muridae
Source: RNAcentral
UCUUAGCACCUAAGGUCUUGACUCCC